CGCUUGAGAUGGAAAAUUAUCGCUAGAAAAUAAGCAGGCACGUGGCGUUGCUAACGAAAUUGACAUGAAAUUGACAACGUCGUCAUAGGUAAAAUAGCGAUAAAUAGAUUAUCAUUGACCAUCUCAACUCGAUUGCCGUUCUCGCUUUCGCCGUCCCGGCUCAAGCGAGAAAAUUAAUCUCGUUGAGAUGAUCAACGAUAAUCUAUAAGGACAUACAUU
RNAcentral lists this long non-coding RNA (219 nucleotides) under Mytilus galloprovincialis (Mediterranean mussel). Lineage: Eukaryota; Metazoa; Mollusca; Bivalvia; Mytilida; Mytilidae. The record is from RNAcentral.